This 497-nucleotide ribosomal RNA is filed under the name uncultured bacterium. Its description in RNAcentral is "partial 16S ribosomal RNA". It matches the Rfam family "Bacterial small subunit ribosomal RNA", at positions 28 to 507 of the family's 1533-position model. The record is from RNAcentral.
GAUGAACGCUGGCGGCGUGCCUAAUACAUGCAAGUCGAGCGAACAGACGAGGAGCUUGCUCCUCUGACGUUAGCGGCGGACGGGUGAGUAACACGUGGAUAACCUACCUAUAAGACUGGGAUAACUUCGGGAAACCGGAGCUAAUACCGGAUAACAUGCUGAACCGCAUGGUUCAACAGUGAAAGACGGUCUUGCUGUCACUUAUAGAUGGAUCCGCGCCGCAUUAGCUAGUUGGUAAGGUAACGGCUUACCAAGGCAACGAUGCGUAGCCGACCUGAGAGGGUGAUCGGCCACACUGGAACGGAGACACGGUCCAGACUCCUGCGGGAGGCAGCAGUAGGGAAUCGGCCGCAAUGGGCGAAAGCCUGACGGAGCAACGCCGCGUGAGUGAAGAAGGUCUUCGGAUCGUAAAACUCUGUUAUUAGGGAAGAACAAAUGUGUAAGUAACUAUGCACGUCUUGACGGUACCUAAUCAGAAAGCCACGGCUAACUACGUG